RNAcentral lists this unclassified non-coding RNA (17 nucleotides) under Mus musculus (house mouse). RNAcentral's name for it is "oocyte_clustered_small_RNA4490". Lineage: Eukaryota; Metazoa; Chordata; Mammalia; Rodentia; Muridae. The record is from RNAcentral.
UAACCAACGCGAUGAGU